GACGAACGCUGGCGGCGUGCCUAAUACAUGCAAGUAGAACGCUGAAGGCGGAGCUUGCUUCUCUGGAUGAGUUGCGAAUGGGUGAGUAACGCGUAGGUAACCUGCCUGGUAGCGGGGGAUAACUAUUGGACACGAUAGCUAAUACCGCAUAACAGUAGAUAUCGCAUGAUAUCUACUUGAAAGGUUCAAUUGCAUCACUACCAGAUGGCCCUGCGUUGUAUUAGCUAGUUGGUGAGGUAACGGCUCACCAAGGCGACGAUAGAUAGCCGACCUGACAGGGUGAGCGGCCACACUGGGACUGGGAGAGGGUCCAGACCACUGCGGGAGGCAGCAGUAGGGAAUCUUCGGGAAUGGAAGGAAGGCUGACCGAGCAACGCUGCGUGAGUGAAGAAGGUUGUCGGGUCGUAAAGCUCGGUUGUAAGAGAGGAACGAGUGUGAGAGUUGAAAGUUCACACUGUGACGGUAUCUGAACAGAAAGGGACGGCUAACUACGUG
This 495-nucleotide ribosomal RNA is filed under the name uncultured bacterium. Its description in RNAcentral is "partial 16S ribosomal RNA". It matches the Rfam family "Bacterial small subunit ribosomal RNA", at positions 28 to 507 of the family's 1533-position model. The record is from RNAcentral.